Molecule: ribosomal RNA, 585 nt
Filed under: uncultured bacterium
Lineage: Bacteria
Description: bacterial SSU rRNA
Rfam family: Bacterial small subunit ribosomal RNA
Source: RNAcentral
CCUACGGGAGGCAGCAGUGGGGAAUUUUGGACAAUGGGCGAAAGCCUGAUCCAGCAAUGCCGCGUGAGUGAAGAAGGCCUUCGGGUUGUAAAGCUCUUUUGUCAGGGAAGAAACGGUGAUUUCUAAUACAGAUUGCUAAUGACGGUACCUGAAGAAUAAGCACCGGCUAACUACGUGCCAGCAGCCGCGGUAAUACGUAGGGUGCAAGCGUUAAUCGGAAUUACUGGGCGUAAAGCGUGCGCAGGCGGUUUUGUAAGUCUGACGUGAAAUCCCCGGGCUCAACCUGGGAAUUGCGUUGGAGACUGCAAGGCUAGAGUUUGGCAGAGGGGGGUAGAAUUCCACGUGUAGCAGUGAAAUGCGUAGAUAUGUGGAGGAACACCGAUGGCGAAGGCAGCCCCCUGGGUCAAGACUGACGCUCAUGCACGAAAGCGUGGGGAGCAAACAGGAUUAGAUACCCUGGUAGUCCACGCCCUAAACGAUGUCUACUAGUUGUCGGGUCUUAAUUGACUUGGUAACGCAGCUAACGCGUGAAGUAGACCGCCUGGGGAGUACGGUCGCAAGAUUAAAACUCAAAUGAAUUGACGG